UAGGGAAUCUUCCACAAUGGACGCAAGUCUGAUGGAGCAACACCGCGUGAGUGAAGAAGGGUUUCGGCUCGUAAAGCUCUGUUGUUAAAGAAGAACAAGUAUGAGAGUAACUGUUCAUACGUUGACGGUAUCUAACCAGCAAGUCACGGCUAACUACGUGCCAG
This 164-nucleotide ribosomal RNA is filed under the name uncultured bacterium. RNAcentral describes it as "partial 16S rRNA". It matches the Rfam family "Bacterial small subunit ribosomal RNA", at positions 355 to 511 of the family's 1533-position model. The record is from RNAcentral.